GAUUUAUACAGAAGCGUGGAGAGAUAGGCUCUAUGAAGCGCUAGCAACCAUCCGCAGAGGAAAGGUGCUAAUUCCUAAUCCCUAAAGAAAGCCGAGUGGUUUUCGGGAGAAUAUAAAUU
This 119-nucleotide non-coding RNA is filed under the name Roseivirga ehrenbergii. RNAcentral's name for it is "SAM-I sequence". It matches the Rfam family "SAM riboswitch aptamer (S box leader)". Rfam says of the family: The SAM riboswitch is found upstream of a number of genes which code for proteins involved in methionine or cysteine biosynthesis in Gram-positive bacteria. The SAM riboswitch acts at the level of transcription termination control. The predicted structure consists of a complex stem-loop region followed by a single stem loop terminator region. Lineage: Bacteria; Pseudomonadati; Bacteroidota; Cytophagia; Cytophagales; Roseivirgaceae. The record is from Rfam by way of RNAcentral.